GAGGAUAUAGCUCAGGGGUAGAGUGCAUGCCUAGCAUGCAUGAGGUCCUGGGUUCAAUUCCCAGUACCUUGA
This 72-nucleotide transfer RNA is filed under the name Camelus bactrianus (Bactrian camel). It matches the Rfam family "tRNA". From Rfam's summary of the family: Transfer RNA (tRNA) molecules are approximately 80 nucleotides in length. RNAcentral also lists the same sequence under 2 other names. The record is from Rfam by way of RNAcentral. Lineage: Eukaryota; Metazoa; Chordata; Mammalia; Artiodactyla; Camelidae.